This 459-nucleotide ribosomal RNA is filed under the name uncultured bacterium. Its description in RNAcentral is "partial 16S ribosomal RNA". It matches the Rfam family "Bacterial small subunit ribosomal RNA", at positions 338 to 794 of the family's 1533-position model. The record is from RNAcentral.
CCUACGGGUGGCAGCAGUGAGGAUUAUUGGUCAAUGGACGAGAGUCUGAACCAGCCAAGUAGCGUGAAGGAUGACUGCCCUAUGGGUUGUAAACUUCUUUUAUAUGGGAAUAAAAUGUUCCACGUGUGGGAUUUUGUAUGUACCAUAUGAAUAAGGAUCGGCUAACUCCGUGCCAGCAGCCGCGGUAAUACGGAGGAUCCGAGCGUUAUCCGGAUUUAUUGGGUUUAAAGGGAGCGUAGGUGGAUUGUUAAGUCAGUUGUGAAAGUUUGCGGCUCAACCGUAAAAUUGCAGUUGAAACUGGCAGUCUUGAGUACAGUAGAGGUGGGCGGAAUUCGUGGUGUAGCGGUGAAAUGCUUAGAUAUCACGAAGAACUCCGAUUGCGAAGGCAGUUCACUGGACUGCAACUGACACUGAGGCUCGAAAGUGUGGGUAUCAAACAGGAUUAGAUACCCGAGUAGU